Molecule: long non-coding RNA, 1462 nt
Organism: Passer domesticus (house sparrow)
Lineage: Eukaryota; Metazoa; Chordata; Aves; Passeriformes; Passeridae
Exons: 2
Source: RefSeq, a predicted model, not a curated record
AGUGCUGUGAGGGGCUAUGAGGGCUGUGAGGAGCUGUGAGGGGCCAUGACGCAGCAUGAGAAGCCAUGAGGGGCUGUGAGGAGCCAUGAGAGACUGUGAGGGGCUGUAAGGAGACGUGAGGAGCUAUGAGGAUCUGUGCAGGGCUAUGAGGUCUGUGAUGGGCCAUGAGUGCUGUGAGGGGCUAUGAGGGGCCGUGAGGGCUAUGAGGGGCUAUGAGGAGCUGUGAGGGUCCAUGAGGGCCAUGAGGAGCCAUGAGGGGCUGUGAGGGGCUGUGAGGAGCCAUCAGGAGCUGUGAGGAGCUGUGAGUGCUGUGAGGGGUUGUGAGGAGACAUGAGAGCUCUGAGGGCUGUGAUGGGUCAUGAGGGGCCAUGAGCUGUGAAGGGUUGUGAGGGGUCAUGAGGAGAUUUGAGGGGCCAUAAGGGGCUCUGAGGGGCCAUGAAGGGCUAUUAGGGACCUUGAGGGGGAAAAAGGUCCCUGAGAAGCUGUGGGAGGCCAGGCACUUCAUGGAACCACGGGUCAGUUAUUACACUGCAGAACCAAGGAGACUGCUGUUGAGCGUUAUGAAAGCUCAUGGAACCAAAAGUCCAUUGUGACAUUGAGGGACCUCAUGGGAUCAUGGAGAACAUUACAAUAGUUUGUGACCCUUUGGAACCAAGGGGCCAUGUGACAGUGCAGGGCUCCAUGGAACUAAGAACUCAUGUAACAGUGAGGAGCCCAAUGGAAUCAAGGCGCCAUUCCAUAUUUCAGGGCCUCAUGGAAGCAAGGUGCCCUUGUGACACUGCAGGACCUCAUAGAAUCCUGGAGACCAUUCUGACACUUUGAGGCCGUGUUGAAUCAAGGGGUUUGCAGGGCUUUGUGGAACCAAGGAGCUCUCUGUGACACUGCAGGGCCUCGUGGAAGCAAUGAGACCAUUCUGGCAUUCUAGGUCCCCAUGGCACCAAGGGGCCAUUGUGACACCAAUGGGUCCCCAAGGAAGCAAGGGGCCAGUGUGCCACAGCCAAGCCUUGUGGAACCAAGGGGCCAUUGUGAUCCUGGGGAGCCCAAUAGAACCAAGGGACCAUUGUGGCACUCUGCACAGUCCCAUGGAACCAAGGAAAACCAUUUUGACACUGCAAGGCCUCAUGGAAGCAAGGGGCCAUUGUGGCACUGCAGAGCCAAGGAGACCAUUGUGAUAUCACUGGGCCUCAUGGAAACAAAGAUCUCUUGUGAUACUAUGGGGACUUGUGGAACCAAAGGGCAAUUGUGAUGUUGCAGGGCCCCAAGGAUCCAAGAACAUGGAACAGUUAUUUUCCAUUACCUAUCAUCUAUGUUGGACAGUGACUUUCUACUUUACACCAAUCCUACGGUGCUACCAUCACCAAGAAGAUGGAGGCUAGGAAGAAGAAGGAAGAAGAACAGGAGAACGCCCAAAUCCCUCCAUCUUGUCCCCUGGACCCCCAUAGUAAAAUUCUUCCAAAUUCUA